Molecule: ribosomal RNA, 436 nt
Filed under: uncultured Flavobacteriales bacterium
Lineage: Bacteria; Pseudomonadati; Bacteroidota; Flavobacteriia; Flavobacteriales
Description: bacterial SSU rRNA
Rfam family: Bacterial small subunit ribosomal RNA
Source: RNAcentral
CAGCAGUGAGGAAUAUUGGGCAAUGGAGGCAACUCUGACCCAGCUAUGCCGCGUGCAGGAAGACGGCCCUCUGGGUUGUAAACUGCUUUUGUUUGGGAAUAAACCCUCCUACGUGUAGGAGGCUGAAGGUACCUUACGAAUAAGCAUCGGCUAACUCCGUGCCAGCAGCCGCGGUAAUACGGAGGAUGCAAGCGUUAUCCGGAUUUAUUGGGUUUAAAGGGUCCGUAGGCGGAUCUUUAAGUCAGUGGUGAAAGCCCACAGCUCAACUGUGGAACUGCCAUUGAUACUGGAGAUCUUGAGUGUAGUAGAAGUAGGCGGAAUAGGGCAUGUAGCGGUGAAAUGCAUAGAUAUGCCCUAGAACACCGAUUGCGAAGGCAGCUUACUAUGUUACAACUGACGCUGAGGGACGAAAGCGUGGGGAGCAAACAGGAUUAGA